UUGUGGGCUUGAUCCCUAGAACAUGGCUCUGAGAACCAGGAAAAUUAUUCCCAGGCCUUGCGACUUAAUCAAGAAACUUUCAAUGUUUGCUCAGCUGGAUUUCAGAAAUAAAUGGGCCAGUGACUCCUUUGUGCCUGUUAUUUCCCCUCUUUUUGCACGGGAAUGUCUAUAGCAGUUACCCUGUUACUAUCUCACCAUUGUAUGUUGAGUGCAUGGAGGGACAAAUAGUUUUGGUUUUUUCCAAGGGGAGAGAAACUGUACUCAAAGAGCUAUACUGAAGGAAGUCAACUGCACCUGCACCUGAUUUCGAUGGAGAUGCUGGACUUCAUGAGCUCUAUCUCUUGAAUAACCCCCUGUUGGAGAAGCAAGCUGCCAUGUUGAAUGCACCUCUAAGGAGAAGACCACCAGGCAGAAUACUUACGUCUCAGGCCAGCUAGGAACUGUGUUCUGCCAACAACCAUGUGAGUGAAUGUGGAAGUGAAUUCUUCAGCUCUACUCUGGCCUUGAGAUGACUGCAGCUCCAGCCAAUAUCUUGACUGUAACCUCAUGAGAGGCUCUGAGCCAGAACCACCUGGCUAAGCCACUCUCAGAUUACUAAACCUCAGGAACUGUGUGAGAUAAUAACAUUUUUGUUGUUUUAA
Molecule: long non-coding RNA, 641 nt
Organism: Myotis lucifugus (little brown bat)
Lineage: Eukaryota; Metazoa; Chordata; Mammalia; Chiroptera; Vespertilionidae
Exons: 2
Source: RefSeq, a predicted model, not a curated record